ACAACACUGAUUGCCUUACUGAGCUCACUUGGUUGUUUGAGGCCCAAAGAGGAAAAUGAAUGUAUAAAGCCACUGAGACUCAGAGAAUUAAGAAACAGAUCACACAUGUUGAAGAACAUCCUCCUAACGGCUUCUGCUUGUAAACUAGCUGUGAACAAGGCACUAUUUUGCUAUAAAAGCAAUCUUAGAAAUUAACCAGCACAGAGUCAAUGGUCAAUGGCAGUCUGAAGGCAGCUUCCAGCAGGCACAAGCAAACUUUGGAAUGAUGGCAGAGAGAAAAUUGCCCAGGCAACUUCUACUACUAUUUCAGUGAGAGAUGAGUCUUAAGUUUGAAGAUACAGCCCUGAACAAGAUAGAAAAGUUCCCUGCCCAUGAGGAGGUGUCUUUCUCCAGGGGGAAGCUGACAAUAAAU
Non-coding RNA from Delphinapterus leucas (beluga whale), 412 nucleotides. The record is from RefSeq and is a predicted model, not a curated record. NCBI's taxonomy places the organism in Eukaryota, Metazoa, Chordata, Mammalia, Artiodactyla, Monodontidae.